AGAGUUUGAUUCUGGCUCAGGAUGAACGCUAGCUACAGGCUUAACACAUGCAAGUCGAGGGGCAUCAUGGAGUUUGCUUGCAAACUCCGAUGGCGACCGGCGCACGGGUGAGUAACGCGUAUCCAACCUUCCCCUUAGUAGGGCAUAGCCCGGCGAAAGUCGGAUUAAUACCCUAUGUUGUCGUUUGAAGACAUCUGAAGACGAUUAAAGAUUGAUCGCUAAGGGAUGGGGAUGCGUCUGAUUAGGUUGUUGGCGGGGUAACGGCCCACCAAGCCAUCGAUCAGUAGGGGUUCUGAGAGGAAGGUCCCCCACAUUGGUACUGAGACACGGACCAAACUCCUACGGGAGGCAGCAGUGAGGAAUAUUGGUCAAUGGGCGAGAGCCUGAACCAGCCAAGUAGCGUGCCAGGAUGACUGCCCUAUGGGUUGUAAACUGCUUUUAUCAGGGGAUAAAGUGACGUACGUGUACGUUAUUGUAGGUACCUGAUGAAUAAGGACCGGCUAAUUCCGUGCCAGCCGCCGC
Molecule: ribosomal RNA, 522 nt
Filed under: uncultured bacterium
Lineage: Bacteria
Description: bacterial SSU rRNA
Rfam family: Bacterial small subunit ribosomal RNA
Source: RNAcentral